RNAcentral lists this ribosomal RNA (451 nucleotides) under uncultured bacterium. RNAcentral's name for it is "partial 16S ribosomal RNA". It matches the Rfam family "Bacterial small subunit ribosomal RNA", at positions 29 to 523 of the family's 1533-position model. The record is from RNAcentral.
AGCGAACGCUGGCGGCAGGCCUAACACAUGCAAGUCGAGCGGCCGUAGCAAUACGGCAGCGGCAGACGGGAGAGUAACACGUGGGAACGCGCCCUUCGGUUCGGGAUAACUCAGGGAAACUUGGGCUAAUACCGGAUACGCCCUUACGGGGAAAGAUUUAUUGCCGAAGGAACGGCCCGCGUCCGAUUAGCUUGUUGGUGAGGUAACGGCUCACCAAGGCGACGAUCGGUAGCUGGUCUGAGAGGAUGACCAGCCUCACUGGGACUGAGACACGGCCCAGACUCCUACGGGAGGCAGCAGUGGGGAAUAUUGGACAAUGGGCGCAAGCCUGAUCCAGCCAUGCCGCGUGGGUGAUGAAGGCCCUAGGGUUGUAAAGCCCUUUCAGCGGGGAAGAUAAUGACGGUACCCGCAGAAGAAGCCCCGGCUAACUUCGUGCCAGCAGCCGCCGUAA